This 485-nucleotide ribosomal RNA is filed under the name uncultured bacterium. Its description in RNAcentral is "bacterial SSU rRNA". It matches the Rfam family "Bacterial small subunit ribosomal RNA", at positions 30 to 507 of the family's 1533-position model. The record is from RNAcentral.
AUUGAACGCUGGCGGCAUGCCUUACACAUGCAAGUCGAACGGCAGCACGGGAGCAAUCCUGGUGGCGAGUGGCGAACGGGUGAGUAAUAUAUCGGAACGUGCCCAGUCGUGGGGGAUAACGUAGCGAAAGCUACGCUAAUACCGCAUACGAUCUAUGGAUGAAAGCGGGGGAUCGCAAGACCUCGCGCGAUUGGAGCGGCCGAUAUCAGAUUAGGUAGUUGGUGAGGUAAAGGCUCACCAAGCCGACGAUCUGUAGCUGGGUCUGAGAGGACGACCAGCCACACUGGGACUGAGACACGGCCCAGACUCCUACGGGAGGCAGCAGUGGGGAAUUUUGGACAAUGGGCGCAAGCCUGAUCCAGCAAUGCCGCGUGCAGGAUGAAGGCCUUCGGGUUGUAAACUGCUUUUGUACGGAACGAAACGGCGAGCUCUAAUACAGUUUGCUAAUGACGGUACCGUAAGAAUAAGCACCGGCUAACUACGUG